Sardina pilchardus (European sardine) is the source of this 861-nucleotide long non-coding RNA. RefSeq lists it as uncharacterized. The record is from RefSeq and is a predicted model, not a curated record. The transcript has 2 exons. Lineage: Eukaryota; Metazoa; Chordata; Actinopteri; Clupeiformes; Clupeidae.
CUGUCUAUGGAGUGAAUUCUAAAGGAAAUGUGUACCGCAGGGAUUCCACAUCUAACUGUACUCCUGAGGGUACAGGCUGGACCAAGAUUCCGAUCUUCGAAGGAAAAGUGAAGCAUGUGUCCUACGAUAGCGGUCAUGGAUCAUCCUGAAGAAUGACGCCAUCUACGACUGCCCAGUCUGAGCACUGCUCUUCCACAGAGACAGCCCUGCUGCGUGAACCCUGCACUCUACCUUCAUUACUUCACCACUGCAGCCCUUAACUAGUCAUGGCUGCUUCUGAUCUUUAAACAUAUACUCAAGUCAAGUCAAGUCAACUUCAUUUAUAGCACAUAUCAUACACAGAGGUCAUUCAGUGUGCUUUACAUAAACAAAAAACAAACAGUAAUAGCAGACAAAAGCAUAGAUGGGCAAAGCGUAAUAGUAAUAAUAAUAAUAAUAAUAUAUAUUUUUAAAAAUCAUAAGGAACAUAAGGAAUGAGGAAUAAUUAACAAGAAAACAUGACAAGGUAGAAUGUUUCAUAUACAGAUACAGGUCUGUUCUUAACAGACUCUGCCAGAGUCUAGUUUAGCAAACCAGUGAUAGUGAUCCUUCUCAAACACCCAGAGCUGUUGCCACUCUUUGGAGAUUUGUUGAUGCUUUGUUGUGAUACUCAUGCUGUUUUUCUGUCAAAUUAUUCAGUUUGGUUGAUUUGUAAAAGCACAUAUUGUGUAGAUUGAGUCUUUAGAAUGCUCUGAAGUGGUGCUGCCUUUGCUUGACAGUUUGUUCAGGUUGUCUUUUCCUGCCAUCUUUAAAAUAAUCAUAGUGAUGAAUACUAUCUGCCCUCUUGUGAUGUGGGUGAUCAAUAAAGCAUAUCAUACUAAA